Nicotiana tabacum (common tobacco) is the source of this 1267-nucleotide non-coding RNA. The record is from RefSeq and is a predicted model, not a curated record. NCBI's taxonomy places the organism in Eukaryota, Viridiplantae, Streptophyta, Magnoliopsida, Solanales, Solanaceae.
UCAACAAGUAUCGUUUUUGGACAAAUCUCCAAUAAUAAAGUUGGAGUUUAAUAGGCAAAAAAGUCGCUCAAAACCGGUUCAUUUUUUGCUACGCUCCAAAAUUGCUCUUGAAAGCCAAAAUAACUACUUGAAUUAAAAGAGCCCCACCAAAGAUCACACUUUGCAAAGAACAAUGGAUUUGAAAUUUUAGGGAUCUGUGCCGAUUUUAGGGAUAAUUGGAGCUAUUAUUGAAAUUUUUGUAAUUUCAAUUCCUGUUUGUUACUCUUUUAUCUCUCUUUCUGCUUUUUUCUCUUUGCUUAUUCUCAAUUUAUAUUUUUGUAUUUGAAAAUUUCUUCUUCCUUUUUCUUGGCAAGAGGUUUAAAUAAAUAUUUGAAUGGACUAUAAUGGAUGUGAAAGAACAAUCAACAAUGUCGCUAAGAAUGUCAAAGGGUUUGUACAAUUGUUAUUCUUCUUCAAAACAGAAGCUUUCUUCUUCAAUCAGUCCAUCAGCCUUCUAAAUUCUUUUUCUCCAUUUUCUUUGUAGUUUUCAAGAUUGUUCAAAUACAACUUCAAAUAAUUUGGCCUUUUCCCCAUCCUCUAUUUAAUAGAGUCUUUACACACUCAAUUUAGUUAAGUUUGAAUGUCAAAAGUCGAUUGAUUCUGAUAUCUUAUCACUUUAUCUUCAUGUUCAAGUACAGUCAAUGUUUAUGAAAACUGAAUUGCUUAGAUUUUUUUUUUAAAUUCCAAGGUCUUAAACUGACUAUGUUAAAAUGCAGUGAUUGAAACCUAGAAUGGGUCAAACUCUGUUUACUCGCAAAGGUAAAGCAGAAUGCUGCGAUUUGAACCUCACAGAACAAUGCAAAGUUUUUUUCAUUCUACUCGAUUUCAGCUUAUAGUUUGAGGACGAGGAUAGUUAACCAUUAAUUGUAAUAUUUUUGGAUGCUGAAGAAAGUACAAAGCGAGGAGAUGCAAAGCAAUGGGAGUAGUGAAGGAUCAGAUCCAAGUGCUUCUGGACAUAGCGGGUGCUGAUUUUCUCGCACAAUUAAUUUUCCGGAGAUUCAGAGGUAGCUGCCGUGUUUCGCAGACCUUGUCUCUCCUUCUCUAUCUCCUUGUUUACUGUAGUUGGUCUUAGAAUAUUAUAGACCAUUUUCUUUUGACUUGUAUCCAUAUUAGAUGCUCAUGUACUCAGUGACACCAGGUUUGGGAGCGUUGUAUCGGAAUUUGCUAGAUUUUUAGUAUUGUAUUAAACAUUAUAUUUUCAAACUUAAAGGAAAUCGUGGGUUAUUGA